This 227-nucleotide ribosomal RNA is filed under the name uncultured bacterium. Its description in RNAcentral is "partial 16S ribosomal RNA". It matches the Rfam family "Bacterial small subunit ribosomal RNA", at positions 14 to 230 of the family's 1533-position model. The record is from RNAcentral.
AGUAUCUGGCUCAGGAUGAACGCUAGCUACAGGCUUAACACAUGCAAGUCGAGGGGCAGCAUGGUCUUAGCUUGCUAAGGCUGAUGGCGACCGGCGCACGGGUGAGUAACACGUAUCCAACCUGCCGUCUACUCUUGGCCAGCCUUCUGAAAGGAAGAUUAAUCCAGGAUGGGAUCAUGAGUUCACAUGUCCGCAUGAUUAAAGGUAUUUUCCGGUAGACGAUGGGG